This 516-nucleotide ribosomal RNA is filed under the name uncultured bacterium. RNAcentral's name for it is "partial 16S ribosomal RNA". The record is from RNAcentral.
GGAGUUAGCCGGUGCUUCUUCUGUGAGUGAUGUCCUUCCUGCCGGCUAUUAACCCGCAGGCCUUCUUCCUCACUGAAAGUGCUUUACAACCCGAAGGCCUUCUUCACACACGCGGCAUGGCUGGAUCAGGGUUGCCCCCAUUGUCCAAUAUUCCCCACUGCUGCCUCCCGUAGGAGUCUGGGCCGUGUCUCAGUCCCAGUGUGGCUGAUCAUCCUCUCAGACCAGCUACGGAUCGUCGCCUUGGUGAGCCGUUACCUCACCAACCAGCUAAUCCGACAUAGGCUCAUCCGAUAGCGCGAGGCCCGAAGGUCCCCCGCUUUCCCCCGUAGGGCGUAUGCGGUAUUAGCCUGGGUUUCCCCAGGUUAUCCCCCACUACCGGGCAGAUUCCUAUGCAUUACUCACCCGUCCGCCGCUCGCCACCAGGGAGCAAGCUCCCCGUGCUGCCGCUCGACUUGCAUGUGUUAGGUCGUCGCCGCCGACGCGUUCUACUACUGAGCACUGAUACAACCUACUCGA